AUUGAACGCUGGCGGCAGGCCUAACACAUGCAAGUCGAGCGGAUGAAGGGUGCUUGCUCCUGGAUUCAGAGUCGGAAGGGUGAGUAAAGCAUAGGAAUCUGCUUCGCAGUGGGGGGUAACGUCCGGAGGCGGGCGCUAAUAACGCAUACGACCUGCGGGAGAAAGAGGGGGAGCGUUGGACAUCACGCUCUCAGAUGAGCCUAGGUCGGGGUGGCUAGUUGGUGGGGUAAAGGGCUACCUAGCAGAGGAUUCGCAACUGGUCUGAGAGGAUGAUCAGUCACACGGGAACUGCGACACGGUCCAUACUCCUACGGGAGGGCGCAGUGGGCAAUGUUGGACAGUGGUGGAAAGCCUGGUCCAGUCAUGCGGCGUGUGAGAAGAAGGUCUUCGGAUUGUGAAGCAGUUUAAGUUGGGAGAAAGGGCAGUAAGUUAAGACCUUGCUGGUUUGACGUUACCAACAGAAUAAGCACCGGCUAACUUCGUG
This 484-nucleotide ribosomal RNA is filed under the name uncultured bacterium. RNAcentral's name for it is "partial 16S ribosomal RNA". It matches the Rfam family "Bacterial small subunit ribosomal RNA", at positions 30 to 507 of the family's 1533-position model. The record is from RNAcentral.